GACGAACGCUGGCGGCGUGCCUAAUACAUGCGAGUAGAACGCUGAAGGAGGAGCUUGCUUCUCUGGAUGAGUUGCGAACGGGUGAGUAACGCGUAGGUAACCUGCCUGGUAGCGGGGGAUAACUCUUGGAAACGAUAGCUAAUACCGCAUAAUAGUAGAUGUUGCAUGACAUUUGCUUAAAAGGUGCAAUUGCAUCACUACCAGAUGGACCUGCGUUGUAUUAGCUAGUUGGUGAGGUAACGGCUCAACAAGGCGACGAUACAUAGCCGACCUGAGAGGGUGAUCGGCCACCAUGGGACUGAGACAAGGCCCAGACUCCUAAGGGAGGCAGCAGUAGGGAAUUUUCGGCAAUGGACGGAAGUCUGACCGAGCAACGCCGCGUGAGGGAAGAAGGUUGUCGGAUCGGAAAGCUCGGUUGUAAGAGAAGAACGAGUGUGAGAGUGGAAAGUUCACACUGUGACGGUAUCUUACCAGAAAGGGACGGCUAACUACGUG
This 495-nucleotide ribosomal RNA is filed under the name uncultured bacterium. Its description in RNAcentral is "partial 16S ribosomal RNA". It matches the Rfam family "Bacterial small subunit ribosomal RNA", at positions 28 to 507 of the family's 1533-position model. The record is from RNAcentral.